Molecule: ribosomal RNA, 404 nt
Filed under: uncultured Aquamicrobium sp.
Lineage: Bacteria; Pseudomonadati; Pseudomonadota; Alphaproteobacteria; Hyphomicrobiales; Phyllobacteriaceae
Description: bacterial SSU rRNA
Rfam family: Bacterial small subunit ribosomal RNA
Source: RNAcentral
AAAGCCUGAUCCAGCCAUGCCGCGUGUGUGAAGAAGGUCUUCGGAUUGUAAAGCACUUUAAGUUGGGAGGAAGGGCAGUAAGUUAAUACCUUGCUGUUUUGACGUUACCAACAGAAUAAGCACCGGCUAACUUCGUGCCAGCAGCCGCGGUAAUACGAAGGGGGCUAGCGUUGUUCGGAAUUACUGGGCGUAAAGCGCACGUAGGCGGAUCGAUCAGUUAGGGGUGAAAUCCCGGGGCUCAACCCCGGAACUGCCUCUAAUACUGUCGAUCUCGAGUUCGAGAGAGGUGAGUGGAAUUCCGAGUGUAGAGGUGAAAUUCGUAGAUAUUCGGAGGAACACCAGUGGCGAAGGCGGCUCACUGGCUCGAUACUGACGCUGAGGUGCGAAAGCGUGGGGAGCAAACA